AUUGUUUCUCAGUCUUUUGGCUAAGAUCAAGUGUAGUAUCUGCUCUUUCUAGUUUAAUUGUGAAAAUAAUGCUAAUUCAUACUAAAUGAAAUUUUGUAUUUGAAAUGUUUC
Small nuclear RNA from Oryctolagus cuniculus (rabbit), 111 nucleotides. Its record names the gene U2. It matches the Rfam family "U2 spliceosomal RNA". From Rfam's summary of the family: U2 is a small nuclear RNA (snRNA) component of the spliceosome (involved in pre-mRNA splicing). Complementary binding between U2 snRNA (in an area lying towards the 5' end but 3' to hairpin I) and the branchpoint sequence (BPS) of the intron results the bulging out of an unpaired adenosine, on the BPS, which initiates a nucleophilic attack at the intronic 5' splice site, thus starting the first of two transesterification reactions that mediate splicing. The record is from Ensembl. Lineage: Eukaryota; Metazoa; Chordata; Mammalia; Lagomorpha; Leporidae.